GGCCUUGACAUACUAAGAACUUUCCAGAGAUGGAUUGGUGCCUUCGGGAACUUUAGAUACAGGUGCUGCAUGGCUGUCGUCAGCUCGUGUCGUGAGAUGUUGGGUUAAGUCCCGNAACGAGCGCAACCCUUUUCCUUAUUUGCCAGCGGGUCAUGCCGGGAACUUUAAGGAUACUGCCAGUGACAAACUGGAGGAAGGCGGGGACGACGUCAAGUCAUCAUGGCCCUUACGGCCAGGGCUACACACGUGCUACAAUGGUCGGUACAAAGGGUUGCUACCUCGCGAGAGGAUGCUAAUCUCAAAAAGCCGAUCGUAGUCCGGAUCGCAGUCUGCAACUCGACUGCGUGAAGUCGGAAUCGCUAGUAAUCGCGGAUCAGAAUGCCGCGGUGAAUACGUUCCCGGGCCUUGUACACACCGCCCGUCACACCAUGGGAGUUUGUUGCACCAGAAGUAGGUAGUCUAACCGCAAGGAGGACGCUUACCACGGUGUGGCCGAUGACUGGGGUGAAGUCGUAACAAGGUAGGCGUAGAUGA
RNAcentral lists this ribosomal RNA (534 nucleotides) under uncultured bacterium. Its description in RNAcentral is "bacterial SSU rRNA". It matches the Rfam family "Bacterial small subunit ribosomal RNA", at positions 977 to 1509 of the family's 1533-position model. The record is from RNAcentral.